GUACACUCCUGCGGGAGGCAGCAGUGGGGAAUUUUGGACAAUGGGCGAAAGCCUGAUCCAGCAAUGCCGCGUGUGUGAAGAAGGCCUUCGGGUUGUAAAGCACUUUUGUCCGGAAAGAAAUCCUUGGCUCUAAUACAGUCGGGGGAUGACGGUACCGGAAGAAUAAGCACCGGCUAACUACGUGCCAGCAGCCGCGGUAAUACGUAGGGUGCGAGCGUUAAUCGGAAUUACUGGGCGUAAAGCGUGCGCAGGCGGUUUGCUAAGACCGAUGUGAAAUCCCCGGGCUCAACCUGGGAACUGCAUUGGUGACUGGCAGGCUAGAGGAUGGCAGAGGGGGGUAGAAUUCCACGUGUAGCAGUGAAAUGCGUAGAGAUGCGGAGGAAUACCGAUGGCGAAGGCAGCCCCCUGGGCCAAUACUGACGCUCAUGCACGAAAGCGUGGGGAGCAAACAGGAUUAGAAACCCGAGUAGUCCC
RNAcentral lists this ribosomal RNA (474 nucleotides) under uncultured organism. RNAcentral describes it as "partial 16S ribosomal RNA". It matches the Rfam family "Bacterial small subunit ribosomal RNA", at positions 331 to 797 of the family's 1533-position model. The record is from RNAcentral.